Molecule: ribosomal RNA, 424 nt
Filed under: uncultured prokaryote
Description: bacterial SSU rRNA
Rfam family: Bacterial small subunit ribosomal RNA
Source: RNAcentral
UGGGGAAUAUUGGACAAUGGGCGCAAGCCUGAUCCAGCCAUGCCGCGUGAGUGAAGAAGGCCUUAGGGUUGUAAAGCUCUUUCAGUCGUGACGAUGAUGACGGUAGCGACAGAAGAAGCCCCGGCUAACUCCGUGCCAGCAGCCGCGGUAAUACGGAGGGGGCAAGCGUUGUUCGGAUUUACUGGGCGUAAAGGGCGCGUAGGCGGGGUAUCCAGUUAGGGGUGAAAGCCCCGGGCUCAACCUGGGAGGUGCACUUGAUACGGGCGGACUGGAAUCCGGGAGAGGAUGGUGGAAUUCCCAGUGUAGAGGUGAAAUUCGUAGAUAUUGGGAAGAACACCGAUGGCGAAGGCAGCCAUCUGGCCCGGGAUUGACGCUGAGGCGCGAAAGCGUGGGGAGCAAACAGGAUUAGAUACCCCUGUAGUCC